Molecule: ribosomal RNA, 286 nt
Filed under: Salmonella enterica subsp. enterica serovar Augustenborg
Lineage: Bacteria; Pseudomonadati; Pseudomonadota; Gammaproteobacteria; Enterobacterales; Enterobacteriaceae
Description: partial 23S ribosomal RNA
Rfam family: Bacterial large subunit ribosomal RNA
Source: RNAcentral
AGGGUGACAGCCCCGUACACAAAAGCGCAUGUGCUGUGAGCUCGAUGAGUAGGGCGGGACACGUGGUAUCCUGUCUGAAUAUGGGGGGACCAUCCUCCAAGGCUAAAUACUCCUGACUGACCGAUAGUGAACCAGUACCGUGAGGGAAAGGCGAAAAGAACCCCGGCGAGGGGAGUGAAAAAGAACCUGAAACCGUGUACGUACAAGCAGUGGGAGCACCUUCGGGUGUGACUGCGUACCUUUUGUAUAAUGGGUCAGCGACUUAUAUUCUGUAGCAAGGUUAACC